UAUUCUUUGUAACCUUCUCCCAAAGGCAGAACAGCCCCUACCCACCCUCCACCUCCCCAGCUGACCUUCAGCCACACCUGGGUCCAAAAGCUUGCAAAACCCCUCCAGGAAUCAUGUUACAAGGGCUUAUUAGUCAACCAAGGUCAUAAACCGCUGAACAGUGGUGACGCUGGUGCUCUGUGCUUUCCAAUCUGGCCACCCUUGCUCCAGGACCCUAUAAAGAGAUCAGGCUGCACUUCUUUUCUAAAAUUAAAAAAAAAAAAAAAAAAAAAAGCUUUGUGAGCCAAGAAGGCUAAUCUACAGUACAUUCUUUGUUGACGGGAGAUACAGAGUGGCUGCACACACUGUUCUUUCUUGCAGCUAUAGUUGAAAAUACUCCUGACCCAGACACACAUGUGGUGUCAUCCUGAGUGCCCUUUGCGUAGGGCCGGGACAUCUAACUAGGAAACCUCUCCCUGAGUGGCAGGCCUAACGGCCAGGAUCUGUGGCCAGCGGGGAGUGGCUCUGGACACAGUGAUUCCUAGGUUCCUGCUGCAGGAAAUGACCUCCUUCUGAAACAUGGUGCCUUUCCAGGGAGGAGGAAGAAGAGGAGGAAAGGAGGUAGUUCCCACUGGGCCCUCUCCCACACAGGACUGCAGCAUGAGCCCAGCUCUCUCCUUGAAAGCUGGUCUGGCCUCUGUUUUUGAACCCAAGAGCUGGAGCAGAAGUUAUUAUUUAUUACACACACCACAUCUAGACCUGGGCAGCCGGACAGGGCAGCCACCUGCGCAUGUGGCUGUGGAGCAACUGAACGGCGGCUGCCCAGGUAGAGCUAGGCUGUGUGACCUGCACACUGUGUUUUGAAGGCUCAAUCAAAAAGAAUGUGAGCUACCUCAUAUUUUGAAAUGAUAAUAUUUUGGACAAAGUGCGCUAAAUAAAAAGUUCUUAAAGCUAAUUGUACCUGCUUCUUUCUACUUUUUUUUAAAUGGGGCUACUGAAACCUGCCACAUAUGUGGCUCACACUACAUUUUAGUUGGACAGAACCCCACAAAGGGUGGCUCUCUCCUGGCUACUAGGAUCACUCUGAACAGAUCCUCAACUCCUGUGCCUUCCUGCCCCACCAGGAGCUGCAGGCUUCUUGUACCCACUGCUUCAUCUGCCUGUUGCUCCUUCCUGCCUUCCUCCCUGGGGUCCCUGCCUACUACUCUGGACCUGGCCUGUAGGCCCCUG
This 1209-nucleotide long non-coding RNA is filed under the name Chinchilla lanigera (long-tailed chinchilla). Its description in RNAcentral is "lncRNA (ENSCLAG00000026040.1)". The record is from RNAcentral. Lineage: Eukaryota; Metazoa; Chordata; Mammalia; Rodentia; Chinchillidae.